This 254-nucleotide ribosomal RNA is filed under the name uncultured bacterium. RNAcentral's name for it is "partial 16S ribosomal RNA". It matches the Rfam family "Bacterial small subunit ribosomal RNA", at positions 524 to 776 of the family's 1533-position model. The record is from RNAcentral.
UACGGGGGGAGCAAGCGUUGUUCGGAUUUACUGGGCGUAAAGGGCGCGUAGGCGGCCACGUCAAGUCACUUGUGAAAUCUCCGAGCUUAACUCGGAAAGGUCAACUGAUACUGUGCGGCUAGAGUGCGGAAGGGGCAACUGGAAUUCUUGGUGUAGCGGUGAAAUGCGUAGAUAUCAGGAGGAACACCGGUGGCGAAGGCGGGUCUCUGGGCCGAUACUGACGCUGAGGAGCGAAAGCGUGGGGAGCGAACAGG